UAGGGAAUCUUCGGCAAUGGACGGAAGUCUGACCGAGCAACGCCGCGUGAGUGAAGAAGGUUUUCGGAUCGUAAAGCUCUUUUGUUAGAGAAGAACGUUGGUAGGAGUGGAAAAUCUACCAAGUGACGGUAACUAACCAGAAAGGGACGGCUAACUACGUGCCAGCAGCCGCGGUAAUACGUAGGUCCCGAGCGUUGUCCGGAGUUAUUGGGCGUAAAGCGAGCGCAGGCGGUUCUUUAAGUCUGAAGUUAAAGGCAGUGGCUUAACCAUUGUACGCUUUGGAAACUGGAGGACUUGAGUGCAGAAGGGGAGAGUGGAAUUCCAUGUGUAGCGGUGAAAUGCGUAGAUAUAUGGAGGAACACCGGUGGCGAAAGCGGCUCUCUGGUCGGUAACUGACGCGGAGGCUCGAAAGCGUGGGGAGCAAACAGG
This 429-nucleotide ribosomal RNA is filed under the name Bacillota bacterium. RNAcentral's name for it is "Firmicutes bacterium partial 16S ribosomal RNA". It matches the Rfam family "Bacterial small subunit ribosomal RNA", at positions 355 to 776 of the family's 1533-position model. Lineage: Bacteria; Bacillati; Bacillota. The record is from RNAcentral.